Molecule: long non-coding RNA, 435 nt
Organism: Symphalangus syndactylus (siamang)
Lineage: Eukaryota; Metazoa; Chordata; Mammalia; Primates; Hylobatidae
Source: RefSeq, a predicted model, not a curated record
GGAAACCUAAAAUUCCUAAGGCAAAUGAAACAGGUAGCCAGCAGCUUUCAAACAAACCCUGAGAACCAAAACCUAGCCAGAAAUGCUUCCUGUGACUCUCCAAUGGAUCUUCCCACCAUAAUGCAGAUUUGCAGGUACUGAAGAUACUAAUACGAACAAGAUGUAUGAACAGCCUGUCUUCAUUAAGCUUACACUGUGAGGACAGAGAUCUAAUGAAUAAGUAGAAAUGCAGACAAGUCGUGAUACGUCCUGCAAAGGAAGUUUACAAGGGCUGACAUAACAAUUGCUGUGGAAACACAUUUUGAUUGAGUAGUCAGGGCAGGCCUGAGAAGGGCUAUUUGGACAGAGACCUAAAGGUCUAGAAUGAGCUAGUCACCUCCCUUAUAUGUCUGAUCUGCUCUGUAACAGCUGCUCUAACACAGUGCCUGGCCCAUG